GAAUACAAGAAUCUGUUUCUUGGCCUCAUUAUCUGUGUUCUUCUGGAUGUUACUGUUGUACUUCCAUUUUGUUGUGCUUGGAGGUAGUACCGUAGAUCAAUCUGUCAAAUUACAGUUACAAGCCGGUCCUGUUUACACAGAAUUGAAGCCUACCCGUGUAACUAGUGAUCCUCAGAAAGAAAACCAAAACACUGAAUCGAAACCUAUCCAUGUAACCAGUGAUCAUCAGAUGGACAACCAAAACACUGUAUCGGCACCUAUCCGUCUAACCGAUGAUCAUCAGGUGGACAACCAAAACACAGAAUCAACCCCUACCGUUGUAGCCCCAGCUGCUCAUCAAACGGAGUCCCCUGCAAAAGCCAUCCAGAUUCAUGAAGCGGAGAAAUAUCCGUUCAUGAAAGCAUUGAGAACUGCUGAAAACAAGAAUGAUCCAUGUGGUGGGAGAUAUAUUUAUGUGCAUGACCUUCCCCCGAGGUUUAAUGAGGAUAUGCUGAAGGAGUGUAGGAGUUUAAGCCUUUGGACAAACAUGUGCAAGUUCACAACUAAUGCAGGACUUGGUCCUCCACUUGAGAAUGCUGAGGGGGUGUUCGGGGAUACGGGUUGGUAUGCCACGAAUCAGUUUGCCGUGGACGUCAUAUUUAGCAAUCGGAUGAAGCAAUAUGAGUGCUUGACAAAUGAUUCAUCUGUCGCAGCAGCUAUAUUUGUUCCCUUUUACGCCGGGUUUGACAUUGCCCGGUACCUUUGGGGAUUCAAUACAUCAAGGAGGGAUGCGGCUUCUCUCGAUCUGGUUGAUUGGCUUAUGAAGAGGCCAGAAUGGGGCAUUAUGGGUGGCAAAGACCAUUUUCUUGUUGCAGGAAGGAUAACAUGGGAUUUUAGGAGACUGUCAGAGGAAGAUUCAGAUUGGGGUAACAAGCUUCUCUUUUUACCAGCUGCUAAGAAUAUGUCCAUGCUUGUGGUCGAAUCUAGCCCAUGGAAUGCUAAUGAUUUUGGUAUUCCAUAUCCCACAUACUUCCAUCCAGCUAAAGAUGCUGAUGUUUUCAUCUGGCAGGAGCGCAU
Molecule: long non-coding RNA, 1056 nt
Filed under: Prunus persica (peach)
Lineage: Eukaryota; Viridiplantae; Streptophyta; Magnoliopsida; Rosales; Rosaceae
Description: long non-coding RNA (PPER_LNC008465)
Source: RNAcentral